Molecule: long non-coding RNA, 961 nt
Organism: Cyanistes caeruleus (blue tit)
Lineage: Eukaryota; Metazoa; Chordata; Aves; Passeriformes; Paridae
Source: RefSeq, a predicted model, not a curated record
CUCAGCGGAAAUUCGUACUUCCCACACUGUGCCCUGGGGGACCGGAGGAUCGGAUGGAGCGGGGGAGAGGGAGGACGGCGCGGCGGGGGGAGGAAGCCCGCGGCCGGUCCUGGCUGGGCUCAGCCCCGGCAGCGAGCAGGGGCGCAGAGUGGGAAAGUUCCCGACAACGCUGCCAGUGAGGGUGCAAUUGAACAUGGCUCCAGCUCCAUGAGGGACUCGUCAGAAUGAUCCAGAUGUUCUUCAGAAAUUCCUGUUUCAAAGAUUCUUCUCGCUCAACAACACACAAAUUGAGAACAAAAGGAAGGUGUUGGAAAGCAUUCGGAAAACGAAACAAUGGGUGCCUGUCCUUUCAAUGACUUGCCUUUCCCGUUGGCAUUCUCUGUUUUUCUGAGAUGUCACCAAUCGAGUAAAUAAAUGCCUAAGAGCAGGAGGAAAUGCCUAAAUAUUUAGGGUAUAUAAGAUAUCCGAGGAUGAUGAGGGAAAGAAGGUAAUGACCAGACACUGCCGUGUUGCAAAUUUAAUAAAUAUGUUGUAAGCUGUUAGUACAUGAAGUUGUAUGCAACUACACAUGCUUAGAAUACAUUUCUGGACUAAAGCUGUCUACAAGACCUGCUUCUUUCUCUUACCAAAAGGCAAAAUAUAGAUAGCUUUUGUGGGAGCUUUGUUUUAGUGGCCAUGUCAACAUGAGCUGGUAGCAUGAGUGGUACUUUGUGGUGAGGCUCUGCUGUCUGCUUUCAUGUUACUUUGCUUCAACUGAUUUGGUCCUGGAGAAACCUUGGCAUCAAACGGGCCUGUUCUCAGCUUACCUUCUCUUAAAUUUGUGUCCUAAAUUGUUGAUGCUUUCUGAAUGUGGACUCAAAAGAAUUGUUUACAUCUUGAAUAAAUUAGAAAGUUUCUGUUUAAAUUAUUUGUAACUGCUGUAUUUUGAACAUGCUUCAUUAGUAAAAUGUUUUUUCUGAAA